This is a long non-coding RNA of Hemiscyllium ocellatum (epaulette shark), 853 nucleotides long. RefSeq lists it as uncharacterized. The transcript is spliced from 3 exons. The record is from RefSeq and is a predicted model, not a curated record. NCBI's taxonomy places the organism in Eukaryota, Metazoa, Chordata, Chondrichthyes, Orectolobiformes, Hemiscylliidae.
ACAGGAUGCGAAGCGGGAUGAGGCCGUUCGGAAAGCUUACAAAUAUCUGGCUGCUCUGCACGAGAACUGCAGCCACCUGAUCCAGACCAUCGAAGACACGGGCACCAUCAUGAGAGAGGUGCGGGACUUGGAGGAGCAGAUUGAGUCGGAGAUGGGGAAGAUGAUGGUGACCAAUUUGGAGAAGAUCCUAGCUGACCAGAAAGCCAUCCAGCAGGAUAACAGCGUUCUGCUCCGGAAGCUCAAGGAGACCUGAUCCCCUCCCACAAGGAGAUACGGAGAGGGGGGGGGGAACGACGGUGCCGCGAUUCCCCCCGGGCGGCACCACUGUACACCGCAAGCCUCAGAGGGGGGAGGGGAGACGGCGCGAGACAGGGGCUCCCUCUCUCACUUUCAUUUAUCCUUCGUUCUCUCUCUCUCUUCUCUCUCUCCUCUCUCUCUCUCUCUCUCUCUCUCUCUCUCUCUCUCUCUCUCUCUCACGCUCUCUCUCUCACGCUCUCUCUCUUCACGCUCUCUCUUCACGCUCUCUCUUCACGCUCUCGCUUCACUCUCUCUUUCUUUCUUUAUCCUUCGUGCUCUCUCUCUCUCUCUCUUUCUCCUGCUCGCUCUCGCUCUCUCUUUGUCCUUCCUUCUCUCACGCUCGCCCUCUCUCGCUCACCAUUAGUUUGUGCCUCUCUCUAUCACUCUGCUUACCCUGAGAGCUCUCUCGCUCCCCCUUGCUCUCUUUAUAGUUGGUGUGCUCUCGCUCUUGCAUGCGCUCUCUCUCUCUCUCUCUCUCUCUGUCCUUUUAUUGAUCCUCCAAUCAGUGACUGUAACGGCCCAGAGGUUUGACCGAAUAAACUCCUCCUGAACUUGC